RNAcentral lists this small nuclear RNA (305 nucleotides) under Panthera pardus (leopard). RNAcentral's name for it is "7SK RNA (ENSPPRG00000015261.1)". It matches the Rfam family "7SK RNA". From Rfam's summary of the family: 7SK was discovered as an abundant small nuclear RNA in the mid-70s but a possible function has only recently been suggested. Two independent studies have found that 7SK RNA binds the CDK9/cyclin T complex (known as elongation factor P-TEFb). Lineage: Eukaryota; Metazoa; Chordata; Mammalia; Carnivora; Felidae. The record is from RNAcentral.
GGGAGUCCUGGCUGCAACAUCUGUCACCCCAUCUAUCGCCAGGGUUUGAUUAAACUGAUCUGGCUGGGUGGGCAGGUGUCCCCUCCACCAUUCCUCUCCAUGUGCAUCCCUCCCGGAGUUGUAUGCUGGGUCAAAGAGGAUGGUCUUCCCCCUCAUAGAGGAGGACCAUUCUUCUGUUAAGGGUGUAUGAGUAGCUGUGCUCCCUGCUGGUAUCUCCAAACAAGCUCUCAAAUGUGAGCUUUGUGAGACACCCACAGGAUGGCUUAGAGGAUUUAAUGAAAUACGGAAUGUGAAAACUGUACUUU